RNAcentral lists this ribosomal RNA (775 nucleotides) under uncultured Neocallimastigales. Its description in RNAcentral is "partial large subunit ribosomal RNA". It matches the Rfam family "Eukaryotic large subunit ribosomal RNA", at positions 24 to 645 of the family's 3401-position model. Lineage: Eukaryota; Fungi; Neocallimastigomycota; Neocallimastigomycetes; Neocallimastigales. The record is from RNAcentral.
GUAGUCUCGCACAGAUGCAUAUCAAUAAGCGGAGGAAAAGAAACUAACUAGGAUUCCCUCAGUAACGGCGAGUGAAGCGGGAAGAGCUCAAAUUUGAAAUCUUCAAGGUUCUACCUUGACGAAUUGUAGUUUAAAGAGGUGUUUUCUGUUGGAGUUUUGGUAAAAGUUCUUUGGAAUAGGACAUCAUAGAGGGUGAGAAUCCCGUAUUUGACCAUUAUUUCCAGCUUUGUGAUACACUUUCAAAGAGUCGGAUUGUUUGGGAAUGCAGUCCAAAAUGGGUGGUAAAUUUCAUCUAAAGCUAAAUACUGGCGAGAGACCGAUAGCGAACAAGUACCGUGAGGGAAAGAUGAAAAGAACUUUGAAAAGAGAGUUAAACAGUACGUGAAAUUGUCAAAAGGGAAGCGUUUGACACCAGUGUUGUUUUCUCGAAAAUCAAUUAAAAAAGGCAGGAUUUUGUGUUGUAUUGACUUUAUCAGCUUUCUGCACUCUUUUCUUGUCUUUUUUAAUGCACCUUUCGUUUAACAAGUCAACAUCAAUUUCUUUUGUUGUAAAAGGGUCAUUGGAAGGUGGCUUUCUUUUCGGAGAAAGUGUUUAUAGCCUUUGGCCUCUGCAAUCGGAGAGAUUGAGGUCUGCAGCGUAGGAUCCUUCGGGGUUAGAUACAUUUGUGCUAAGUUAUAGCCUUUCAUAGACAACUUGUUGACUAUGAUCAGUCAUGUAGCUUACUCGCUUAUGCUAUUUUACCUACGCUUAGGAUGUUGAAGUCAUCGUAUCGCGC